RNAcentral lists this ribosomal RNA (595 nucleotides) under Marinobacter sp. S121. RNAcentral describes it as "bacterial SSU rRNA". It matches the Rfam family "Bacterial small subunit ribosomal RNA", at positions 87 to 678 of the family's 1533-position model. Lineage: Bacteria; Pseudomonadati; Pseudomonadota; Gammaproteobacteria; Pseudomonadales; Marinobacteraceae. The record is from RNAcentral.
GCUGACGAGCGGCGGACGGGUGAGUAAUGCAUAGGAAACUGCCCAGUAGUGGGGGAUAGCCCGGGGAAACCCGGAUUAAUACCGCGUACGCCCUUCGGGGGAAAGCAGGGGAUCUUCGGACCUUGCGCUAUUGGAUGUGCCUAUGUCGGAUUAGCUAGUUGGUGGGGUAAAGGCCUACCAAGGCGACGAUCCGUAGCUGGUCUGAGAGGAUGAUCAGCCACAUCGGGACUGAGACACGGCCCGAACUCCUACGGGAGGCAGCAGUGGGGAAUAUUGGACAAUGGGGGCAACCCUGAUCCAGCCAUGCCGCGUGUGUGAAGAAGGCUUUCGGGUUGUAAAGCACUUUCAGUGAGGAGGAAAAGUUGGUCGUUAAUACCGGCCAGCCUUGACGUUACUCACAGAAGAAGCACCGGCUAACUCCGUGCCAGCAGCCGCGGUAAUACGGAGGGUGCAAGCGUUAAUCGGAAUUACUGGGCGUAAAGCGCGCGUAGGUGGUUUGAUAAGCGAGAUGUGAAAGCCCCGGGCUUAACCUGGGAACGGCAUUUCGAACUGUCAGGCUAGAGUAUGGUAGAGGAGUGUGGAAUUUCCUGUGUAG